This 478-nucleotide ribosomal RNA is filed under the name uncultured bacterium. RNAcentral's name for it is "bacterial SSU rRNA". It matches the Rfam family "Bacterial small subunit ribosomal RNA", at positions 28 to 508 of the family's 1533-position model. The record is from RNAcentral.
GACGAACGCUGGCGGCGUGCUUAAUACAUGCAAGUCAACUGAACUUUAGGUAGCAAUAUUUAAAGGGAGGUGGCGCACGGGUGAGUAACACGUAGGUAAUCUGCCUUCAGGACUGACAUAACUCCGCGAAAGCGGGACUAAAAUCAGAUGAUGCAGCGGCUCGACAUCGAGACAGUUGUUAAACCUUGGGGCCUGAAGAUGAGCCUGCGUCUGAUUAGGUAGUUGGAGGGGUAAUGGCCCACCAAGCCUGCGAUCAGUAGCUGGUCUGAGAGGAUGAUCAGCCACACUGGAACUGAGACACGGUCCAGACUCCUACGGGAGGCAGCAGUAAGGAUAUUGCUCAAUGGCCGAAAGGCUGAAGCAGCAACGCCGCGUGGAGGAUGAAAUACUUUAGUAUGUAAACUCCUGUAAGAGGGGAAAAUAUACAGUUCUGCUGUAUUGAUUGUACCCUCAGAGUAAGCACCGGCUAACUACGUCG